AUUCUGUUCCUUUUUUUUUCUCUUCCCCCCAACAAUUCACUGUAAGCUCAUAUACUAAUGAUCUUUGUUCACAAUUUUAUAUAGAAUAAUAUACACUGACAUAUAAUUUUCUAUCUUCUGUUUUAUGUGAAUUUUAUGUAAUUUGUGAGAUGAAUAACUAUAUUCAUUAUAAUCAGACAAUGCUGAAUGCAUGAAUAAUGUUAUACUCUCUCAAAAACGACUACAGACAAUGCUGAAUGCAUGAAUAAUUUAUCCAGAUUAUAUCGGAACUUUGGAACGCAUAUAUGCGUUCCAGCAAGUAUCACGUGACGAUUGCGUUCCACGGAUGGAACGCAGAAAACCGGAACUGGAAGCGGAAUUGAAAAUCCCAUUGAAUGCCGAUCGAGAAUAGCAAAAAGACCGCCAAAGCACAGCUAUUUAAAAUGGACCUACAAACUAAACUAACCAGCAACUGAGGAAGCCUCUAAACAGGGCGAAACGUGUUUUGUACUUUAUAUAAGGACUUACCUUCGAAAUUGUAAGGUUUUUUAUUUAUUCAAUUUUAUUUUAUGUAUACUUUGUGCACUUUAUAACAAAGCACUUUACCCCUGCUACAUACUGAGAGGAUAUCCUAUUAUUUGGAAACCCCUGCCAGUACAAAGAAGGGAGUGGACCCCUCUAGCACCCACAAAGCUGAAUUUCUGAGCCUCCAUAAUGGCUCCUUGUUUGAAGAACAACUCAAGAAUAAUUUUAUUCAUGUAAAGAUAUUCCAUCUUUUAUUUGAAGAACCACUUAAGAACUACUUUUCAUGUAAAGAUGCUCCACCUUAUAUUGUAUGUAUAUUUCUGUUUGUUUGUGUGGUUAAAGGGAAAACCCACAAAGGUGUGAGAGUAUUCUAUUACUAUUGGUGUUACUCACUGGGAUAUUGUUAUAUAUUGCUUUCUAUUCCCACAAUUCACCUGUUAUCUAAACGUAAUCAUUAUGCUCUAUGUCACAUUGCUAGUGUGGAGUACACAUUAUAUAGAUCUGGGUACACAGUGUGCACUAACUCCUUUACAAGGACAAGCCUUCACCCUAGGUUAGCCAGCUCCACCUGCUGGCCACUCAGAGUAAUACAGCAUCCCUGCUCACAGCAGGAGCUAUUCACAAAAGUGAGAAUUCAAAGUGAAUUUUACAUUUAAG
Pelobates cultripes (western spadefoot toad) is the source of this 1161-nucleotide non-coding RNA. NCBI's taxonomy places the organism in Eukaryota, Metazoa, Chordata, Amphibia, Anura, Pelobatidae. The record is from the annotation of a GenBank genome assembly.